AUUGAACGCUGGCGGCAGGCCUAACACAUGCAAGUCGAGCGGUAAAAGGUUGCUCUCUCCUGUAUUCAGCGGCGGACGGAUGUGUAAUGCCUAGGACUCUGGCGGGUAGUGGGGGCUCACGUCCGCAGACGGGCGCUAAUACCGCAUACGUCCUGAGGGAGAAAGUGGGGGAUCUUCGGACGACACGCUAUCAGAUGAGCCUAGGUCGGAUUAGCUAGUUGGUGGGGUAAAGGCCUACCAAGGCGACGAUCCGUAACUGGUCUGAGAGGAUGAUCAGUCACACUGGAACUGAGACACGGUCCAGACUCCUACGGGAGGCAGCAGUGGGGAAUAUUGGACAAUGGGCGAAAGCCUGAUCCAGCCAUGCCGCGUGUGGGAAGAAGGUCUUCGGAUUGUAAAGCGCUUUAAGUUGGGAAGAAGAGGAGUAGGCUAAUACCUUGCUGUCUUGACGGUACCAGCAGAAUAAGCACCGGCUAACUACGUG
Molecule: ribosomal RNA, 484 nt
Filed under: uncultured bacterium
Lineage: Bacteria
Description: partial 16S ribosomal RNA
Rfam family: Bacterial small subunit ribosomal RNA
Source: RNAcentral